GCCAGUAGUCAUAUGCUUGUCUCAAAGAUUAAGCCAUGCAUGUCUAAGUAUAAGCAAUUUAUACAGUGAAACUGCGAAUGGCUCAUUAAAUCAGUUAUCGUUUAUUUGAUAGUACCUUUACUACUUGGAUAACCGUGGUAAUUCUAGAGCUAAUACAUGCUUAAAACCCCGACUGUUUGGGAGGGGUGUAUUUAUUAGAUAAAAAAUCAAUGCUCCUCGGAGCUCUUUGAUGAUUCAUAAUAACUUUUCGAAUCGCAUGGCCUUGCGCUGGCGAUGGUUCAUUCAAAUUUCUGCCCUAUCAACUUUCGAUGGUAGGAUAGUGGCCUACCAUGGUUUCAACGGGUAACGGGGAAUAAGGGUUCGAUUCCGGAGAGGGAGCCUGAGAAACGGCUACCACAUCCAAGGAAGGCAGCAGGCGCGCAAAUUACCCAAUCCCAAUACGGGGAGGUAGUGACAAUAAAUAACGAUACAGGGCCCUUUCGGGUCUUGUAAUUGGAAUGAGUACAAUGUAAAUACCUUAACGAGGAACAAUUGGAGGGCAAGUCCUGGUGCCAA
RNAcentral lists this ribosomal RNA (555 nucleotides) under Hemisphaericaspora xylanilytica. RNAcentral's name for it is "SSU rRNA". It matches the Rfam family "Eukaryotic small subunit ribosomal RNA", at positions 16 to 570 of the family's 1831-position model. Lineage: Eukaryota; Fungi; Ascomycota; Pichiomycetes; Serinales; Debaryomycetaceae. The record is from RNAcentral.